GGAAUUUGCUAUUUGUUUACGGAAGUCAUUGGUGCUACUGCCUUACCUGCUACCCACUGCCCUACGCAACCACUUUCUCAUUCUUCAAAAGUUUCACUGACAUGAACCUCACUUGUGGGUGCCAGGUUAUGACCACAUGCAUAGUUUCAUCUUCAUCUUAUGCAACAUUUGGGGUAAAAGGAAGGUUAUGUGGUAACCAGUUUAUGACUUGAACUAUAGGCAAAGAUUGACCAGACCAAGCCCUGAGACACAGUGUUGAGAGCCAAGACAUAAAGUUGUGAAGAUUCAGACCCAGAGCCCAGCAGGGCACAGGCUGGAGGGGUGAUGUGAGUGAUCAGUAACACCAUGAAGACUCUGCUCCUGGGUCAGGAAUGCUUUUUUGUCCCUGUUUUUGGAUUUUCCACCAUGAUCAGCCAAUGCAGAAAGAAAUCUAAAGGUGAAGGAAAGGCAGCGUUCAGCACUGAGCAAGUCCAUGUUGGAGAAAGAAGCAGACUUUGUGCCAUCUUUGCUGGAGCUCUCACAAGACAUUUCCGUGAAGCAAUUAUAGAGCAAG
This 553-nucleotide long non-coding RNA is filed under the name Homo sapiens (human). RNAcentral's name for it is "non-protein coding LINC00284:6". The record is from RNAcentral. Lineage: Eukaryota; Metazoa; Chordata; Mammalia; Primates; Hominidae.